This 2350-nucleotide ribosomal RNA is filed under the name Liljeborgia fissicornis. RNAcentral describes it as "18S ribosomal RNA". It matches the Rfam family "Eukaryotic small subunit ribosomal RNA". The record is from RNAcentral. Lineage: Eukaryota; Metazoa; Arthropoda; Malacostraca; Amphipoda; Liljeborgiidae.
CCUAUCUGGUUGAUCCUGCCAGUAGUCAUAUGCUUGUCUCAAAGAUUAAGCCAUGCAUGUCUAAGUCCAAGCUGUGUUUUUAACAUGGCGAGACCGCGGACGGCUCAUUAAAUCAGUCGUAGUCCGAAUGGGCCAGUGCUAUCUUACUUGGAUAACUGUGGUAAUUCCAGAGCUAAUACAUGCAACCGAUGCUCCGAAGUCUUCACUGACCGACGAGCGCUUUUAUUAGACCAAACCACUGUGGGCUACUGCUUGAUGCGUUCGCGCGUGUCUUGAAAAGGGCUUUACACGUAUUAUGGUGACUCUGGAUAACCAAUUUAUUGACGAGCGCACAUACCCUUCCCGGGAUGGCGCCGCCACUUUCGAGUGUCUGCCUUAUCAGCUAUCAAUCGUUGGUUACACGCCACCGAUGGCUUUGACGGGUAACGGGGAAUCAGGGUUCGAUUCCGGAGAGGCAGCCUGAGAGACGGCUACCACGUCUAAGGACGGCAGCAGGCACGCAAAUUACCCAAUCCCAGCUACUGGGGGAGGUAGUGACGAAAUAUAAUGAUGCGGGCGCCCUUUUUAGGGCCCCGCAAUCGGAAUGAGCAUUUUCUAAGUAACCUGUCGAGAACCUACUGAAGGGCAAGUCUGGUGCCAGCAGCCGCGGUAAUUCCAGCUUCAGCAGCAUCUAUUAAAGUUGCUGCGGUUAAAAGGCUCGCAGUUGAAUGUCGCUGCGUAGUGUUGUGGAGAUGGACGUUGGAGACGUGUGUUUUCUCCCGUCCACAAAAAAUCUCCCUCACUCACGUACAUAUACUGUUUCUGUUUUGGAGGAUUCGGUGAUAGCGCUUGUGGUUCGUUCUUGUUGCUCGUUGCGGAGUGGUUUUCGUGUCUUGCGUUUCGGCGUGGGCGCGUCUACUUUACCUCUUGCGCGAUGCUGGUUCGGCUCUUGCGUUCCCUCGCCGUAUUAUAUGUCUCUUUGGAUACGUUGUCACCUUGAGUAAAUCAGAGUGCUCAAAGCAGUCGUGAAUCAGGAGCGCUUCGGCGUCUUCUAUAAACAGUGUGUCUCUUGUGCCGUCAUUUUCUUGCCUAGCGUGAGGAGUGUCGGUAUGGAGGCGGACUGACUUGGUUUUGCAUGGUAUGUCGGAAGAUGGCGUCGGGUUUGCUGGCUCAGUGAUUAAAGCAGUGGUAUAAGCCAGCCCCGACGUACUGAUUAACAGGAACGGCCGAGGGCACUGGUAUUGCGAGGCGAGAGGUGAAAUUCUGUGACCCCCGCAAGACCUUCUGAAGCGAAAGCGUCUGCCAAGGACGUUUUCAUUAAUCAUGAACGAAAGUUAGAGGAUCGAAGGCGAUCAGAUACCGCCCUAGUUCUAACCGUAAACGAUGCCAACCAUCAAUCCGCGCGUAGUACCCUGUAUGUCGGGCUCGGCGGGCAGCUCCUUCUUCACGGGAAACCAGAGUCUCUGGGUUCCGGGGGGAGUAUGGUCUCAAGGCUGAAACUUAAAGGAAUUGACGGAAAGGCACCACCAGGAGUGGAGCUGCGGCUUAAUUUGACUCAACACGGACCAUCUUACCAGGCCAGUACGCUAGCAUGAUUGACAGAUUGAGAGCCCUUUCUCGAUUAAGCGGAUGGUGGUGCAUGGCCGUUCUUAGUUGGUGGAGUGAUCUGUCUGGUUAAUUCCGAUAACGAACGAGACUCUCCCCUGCUAACUAGUCGGUUGGAUCUUUUCAUUAUUGGUGAGUCGUGCACCUUUGGUUUAUAGCGCUUGCGUUAGUACGCGUCGUUUCUGUUGAGGCGCCGAUGCUUAACGGUGUCGUGUAUUUUGAUGGUGCGGCGUGUGCGCGCAUGUCGUCAACGCCAUCGGAUCGUACACUCAAAGUCCGCCGCCUAUGCUCCUUAUGUGAUGUAUAAUUCUUCUUAGAGGGAUCCACGGUACUGAAACCGUCAGAGACUGAGAGCCAUAACAGGUCUGUAAUGCCCUUUGAUGCUCUGGGCCGCACGCGCGCUACACUGCCGGACACAGCAGGUGUUUUCCCUUCUCCGAUAGGAGCGGGUAACCCUAUGAAAGUCCUUGUUCUCUAUCUAUGUGAAUAGCGGCGUGCUUGGGCCUGGGGCUUGCAAUUGUUUCCCACUAACGAGGAAUUCCUAGUAGCGGCGGGUCACUGAGCAUCGCCGUGACUUAGUCCCUGCCCUUUGUACACACCGCCCGUCGCUACUACCGAUUGAGUGUAUUAGUGAGAACCUUGGACUGGCGACCGUUGUUUGCUCACGCUUACGACGGCUACGACGGAAAGAGGUUCGAACUGGUGCACUUAGAGGAAGUAAAAGUCGUAACAAGGUUUCCGUAGUGAACCUGCGGAAGGAUCAUUA